UACGUAGGGUGCAAGCGUUAAUCGGAAUUACUGGGCGUAAAGCGUGCGCAGGCGGUGAUGUAAGACAGGGGUGAAAUCCCCGGGCUUAACCUGGGAACUGCAUUUGUGACUGCAUCGCUGGAGUGCGGCAGAGGGGGAUGGAAUUCCGCGUGUAGCAGUGAAAUGCGUAGAGAUGUGGAGGAACACCGAUGGCGAAGGCAGCCUCCUGGGAUAACACUGACGCUCAGGCACGAAAGCGUGGGGAGCAAACAGG
RNAcentral lists this ribosomal RNA (253 nucleotides) under uncultured bacterium. RNAcentral describes it as "partial 16S ribosomal RNA". It matches the Rfam family "Bacterial small subunit ribosomal RNA", at positions 524 to 776 of the family's 1533-position model. The record is from RNAcentral.